AGGAGGAACAGCCCCAGUGGCGGGGCAGCUCUGGAACCCUGGAUUCAGCUCCGGCAGGAACUCCGUCUGCAGGGCCUGGAGGCUCCGGGGCGGG
Molecule: microRNA precursor, 94 nt
Filed under: Canis lupus familiaris (dog)
Lineage: Eukaryota; Metazoa; Chordata; Mammalia; Carnivora; Canidae
Description: mir-8834 microRNA precursor family
Rfam family: mir-8834 microRNA precursor family
Source: Rfam by way of RNAcentral